Molecule: long non-coding RNA, 970 nt
Filed under: Panax ginseng (ginseng)
Lineage: Eukaryota; Viridiplantae; Streptophyta; Magnoliopsida; Apiales; Araliaceae
Description: long non-coding RNA (PGIN_LNC003173)
Source: RNAcentral
UAAAAUCAACACCCGUUCAUCCUAUUUAAUACUCCUUAGCGCGACUAAAAAAACAAUUGAAGUCGUAAAAACCCUAAAUACAGUCCCUAAUUCUGAAUAUGUAAUCAUACAUUCAAAAUUAUAAACUAAAAAAUUCAGCCCCAAAUUAUGAACAAACCCUAGGAACCACGGCGAACUGUCAUUGCUGUUUACGUUGAAGCAGUUACAGCGAUUGCGGCCACAUUUCUGUGCCGGUUGCUUCUCAUUUUCACCAAAGCCGGGCUCGAAUAAUUCCACAGUAGCAACUCCAUCGUUGCCGUACUGCGCUUCACCGGCGGCGGUUAGUUUCUCCACCGACAAAAUCCGCAAAAAAGUAGGAAAAUUGCCUAUCGAAGAGCCUCUUGAGGCGCGAUUUCAGCGCAGGCUUGCCCGUAUUAGUUCGGACCGAUGAUUCUCGGUACGUUUGAGAGUCAAUUUUCAUUGGAGGCAUAGCUGUGACUCUCUAACUUUUCAAUAUUGUCUAGCUAAUAGUUAUACUCUCUGUCACUUCUGUUCAGUUUGUGUGAAUUUUUUAAUUUCUUUUCUUCGUUUUCUUAGAAAUCAAUCUUGCUAACUGUUGCUAAUUUUGGACAGUUUUUAUUUCUUUUCGCUAGAACUCUACUCUGAUUGAUUUCCGGUCCCCCAAAUGGAAGAAAUCUCUAUUUUAAACUUUAAGUGAUAUAUAACCUUUUAAUUUGGGGUCAGAGUUCAUAUUUUUUUUUUUGAGGGCAGAGUAAUUAAAGAAAAACAGUCUCUUGGACAUCCUGUUACCAGUUAGAAAUACACGAAAGAUGCAUUCUUUAGUCUUCAGUCUAUUCUUUUGUGGGGAGUUCUUCCUGCCAGUCAUCUUCAGUGUUUAUAUUGACAGCUUGCUUAGACUGGAAGGGCAAGGCGAAUUGGUUUUGACAUAUUUUGCCCGUACUGUGAAAUCAGGUCGGAUAAUUUUGCCGGG